RNAcentral lists this long non-coding RNA (7360 nucleotides) under Homo sapiens (human). RNAcentral describes it as "HSALNT0194657". The record is from RNAcentral. Lineage: Eukaryota; Metazoa; Chordata; Mammalia; Primates; Hominidae.
UGAUCCUAAAAACAGACAGACACCUGGCUGUGUACCUUUAAGACACAGCCGCAGAUCGACAUGCAAACUAACGGUGCCAGACGGUGGCGUGGGGGGGCCGUGGUCAAGAAUGAGCACCGAUCACGCAGUUUGAUUCCAUGAGCAGGGAAGGCCAGACGAGCCCUUCCAGUGAACCUCUGUGGACGCUAUCAUGACAAGCUGCUGCCCUUCGCUGAAAUAACCCAGCGGACCCGAAAACCAGAUGCCAGACAAAGCUAUUUUUAUGUCUUGCAAACCUAACCCAAGCAACAGCUGCCUGUUGAAAGAGUGAUCGUGGCCUUCACCACAAUGAACACGAGAAACUGCUCAGUCCUGGCGAAUUCUGGAUCUAUCACCCAGGCCAGAGUGCAGUGGCAUGAUCUUGGCUCACUGCAACCUCUGCCUCCCAGGCUGAAGCCAUCCUCCUACCUCAGCCUCCAGAGUAGCUGGGACUACAGGCGUGUGCCACCAUGCCCAGCUAAUUUUUGGUUUUUUGGGUUUUUUUUUUUUCUGUAGAGACAGGAUCUCACUUUGUUGCCCAGGCUGAUCUUGAACUCCUGAGUAAGAGCUUUGUCCUAAUAAUUAAUAAUACCAAUAAUGCCUUCCACUAUAAGCAUCUUGUUUACAAGUAUCCCAUUUCACACAUGAGAAUCCAAUGUCCAGAGAGGUGGAGUGACUUGUUUGAAGUCACACAGCUUGGAGGUAUACAUGGCAUUCGACCCUGGGCUACCUGACUCUAAAGCUAGAUUUGUCAUAGGCGGAGGUGACCAGGUCGUUGAUUCAAUUGUUUAAUGGGCUACCCUAUUGGAUUGGUGGAAUCAGAGCCUGAAAAAGACACCCAAAAGAGGGUCAGCAGUUUUCAAACUUACAACAUGUCAGAGCAUCUGGGUCUUCAGGGAAUCCCAGCCAGUACUGCUAGAGUAAGCAAAAGAUUACUACAUCUCUGGUUUUGUGCCAAAUCCCAAACCAUUCCAUCCUAGAGUACGGGUGUACAGCAUUCAAGGCCUCUGAUUUUGGAACAACUUCAGGGAGCAAAACAUAUUUAAGAGAAGCCUGUACAUUUCAGCUUCUCCCUCAGCCAGGAAAUUACUCAAAUGAUUGAGUCUCCCAGGGCCCUCUGAGAGUAUAGACCCAGAAAGAUGCACAUCCACAAUGCCUGGUACACUGUAGGUGCUCAAUUAAUGCCUGUUGAGACAAACCAAACUUCUUUUUUCUUUCUUUUUAUUUUUUAUUUUUUUUGUGUGUGUAGAGACAAGGUCUCUCUCUGUCACCCAGGCUGGAGUCCAGUGGCACAAUUGUAACUGACAGCAGCCUCGAACUCCUGGGAUCAAGCAAUCCUCCUGUUUUAGCCUCCCAAAUAGCUGGGACUACAGGUGCACACCACGACAUCUAGCUAAUCUUUUUUAUAUUUUGUAGAGAUAGGGUCUUUCUGUGUUGCCCAGGCUGGUCUUGAACUCCUGUCCUCAAGCAAUCUUCCCACCUCUUCCUCCCAAAGUUCUGGGAUUACAGGCAUAAGCCACCAUGCCUGGUUCAGAUCAAAUUCUUGAUGUGGUGAAUCUGCCAUCCCAAGCAAAACUGGCCUGAAUGGUUCCAGAUCGGCCCCUGCCUUGAAGGAAGGUGGAAUCCUAUCCUUCUUCGCUUCUCCCCCUGCUGUGCUGUGAAUUUGCCUUCUUCAGCCAUUCACUCAUUCAUCAGCAGGUAUUUCCUGAGCACCUGCCAGGUGUGGUACACGCUGCUGGAGACAUGGAGCAAACAGGCAGGAAUGGCCCAGCCCUGCCCUCGUGGGUUUAUGAUCUCACUGGGAAGCAAAUAAAAUCACAAACCUGAGGGCACAACCAGGAGAAUCGCCAUGAACUCGUGAUGGAUCAGGUUUUGCACCAAAAUGUGAACUCUACUUUGAAGUAACAAGUCACUGAAUCACAAAUUCAGAGGAAGCAUGAGAACAAGGUAUUCCAGGCCGGGUGCAGUGGCUCAUGCCCGUAAUCCCAGCACUUUGGGAGGCCAAGGUGAGCAGAUCACUUGAGGUCAGGAGUUCGAGACCAGCCUGGCCAACAUGGCAAAACCCCAUCUCUACUAAAAAUACAAAAAUUAGCUGGGCGUGGUAGUGCUUGCCUGCAAUCCCAGCUACUCGGGAGACUGAGACUGAGGAAUUGCUUGAACCUGGGAGGCAGGGGUUGCAGUGAGCUGAGAUUGUGCCAUCGCACUCCAGCCUGGGUGACAGGACGAGACUCUGUCUCAAAAAAAAAAAAAAAAAAAGAACAAGGUCAAAGUUUCUACUGGGAUAAGACUUCAAGGAAACCUCCAUUUCAAAAGAUUAAAAUGUUUAUUUCCCCAUGAAGACUGGGUAUCUCAUGUAAUGUAAUACUCAAAUUUCUGUCUCAGACCUAAAGGUGUUGAAAGUAUGAGCGAGUUUACACAACACCUGAGCAGGAGCAAAUAAAACUCUUAAGAGCUUCUGAAAGAAAGUUACAGAUUAGAGAUAUUUUCAUCUCUAAAUCACAUGAAUUAGGAUUGGCUGGGUCUUUCCACUUAAAACUUGGAGAAGUCAUAAAAAGAAAUCUUGUAAAGAACUCCAUGUCACUAUUAGCAGAAACAUGCAAUUUAUAAAAUGAUAUCUUUGGCCAGGCGCGGUGGCUCAUGCCUGUAAUCCCAGCACUCUGGGAGGCCGAGGCGGGCGGAUCACUUGAGGUCAGGAGAUCGAGACCAUCCUGGCUAACACAGUGAAACCCUGUCUCUACUAAAAAUACAAAAAAAAUUAGCCGGGCGUGGUAGUGGGUGCCUGUAGUCCCAGCUACUUGGGAGGCUGAGGCAGGAGAAUGGCGUGAACCCAGGAGGCGGAGCUUGCAGUGAGCACUCCAUCUCAAAUAAUAAUGAUAAUAAUAAUAUCUUCACCUUUCAGUUUUUAAAUUGCAAGUCCCAUGUCCCGGGAAUUCCCCGGUCCUGGGCAAAGUGGGAUGGUUGGUCACCCAACCUAUAUGGAUGCCCAUUGAUAUUAAAAAAUAAAAGUAAUCACAAUAGACAUGAGGGAGAGAGUUGUGUACAGUGUGAGUGUACAGAAUAAAAGGUCUGGGGGGUUUAUACCAAAAUGUGCACAGUGGCUACCUGGAGGAGGAGGGUUAGACAGGAAUAACAGCAAGGAGACUUUUGCACGGUGCUGAGUGACUUUUUAACUUGCAUAUUAUUUUGGAAUGCAUUUUUUCAACAUUGAAAGAAAGUCAUGUCUUCCUAGAAAUAUAGGAUAUAGGACCACUACAAACGCUUUACUCUUAGUCUCCUUUUUUUCUUUUUCUUUUCUUUUUUUUUUUUUUUGAGACAGAGUCUUGCUCUGUCAGUCAGGCUGGAAUGCAGUGGCGCAAUUUUAGCUCACUGCAACCCCCACCUCCUGGGUUCAAGCGAUUCUCCUGCCUCAGCCUCCCAAGUAGCUGGGAUUACAGGUGCCCAUCACCACAUCUGGCUAAUUUUUAUGUGUUUAGUACAGAUGGGGUUUCGCCAUGUUGGCCAGGCUGGUCUCGAACUCCUGACCUCAAGUGAUCCACCUGCCUCUGCCUCCCAAGGUGCUGGGUGGCAUGAGCCACCGUGCCCAGCCUUAGUCUGCUUUAAAAAAAAAAAAAAAAAAAAAAAGAACAACCAUUUGAGGAAACAGAAACAGAAUACUAUUCCUUAAGACAGUAGCUUUGGAGGCAAAAAACAGAAUUGUUUAUAAAACGUUGUGGAACUUAUAUGGGAGCAUGUCCAGGGAUCCACACCACCAUUUAUAGAAGCAAAGAAAGGCCCUUCUCUUUCAUCUGCGUUACAUUUCGAGCUCUUCUGAUUAGCUUCCUUCAAACAUGACGGGAGUCGUUUUUCCCCGGGGACCCCAAGUGCAUGCCUUCAGACAGGGUCUGCUCUCACUAUACAUUGGGUUCGAAUUUACCUGGACGUUGGCAGAAUGGUCCGGACCCCGGGGAGGGGCGAGCUGACUUACCACUUUAUUCCUGCCGCUUUUCUCUUGCCAUGUCCUCCCCACCGUGCAUUCAGGGUUACAUUUUCCAGGUUCCUUGUUUGCUGAGGGCCUGAAUCUAAGCCUGCUAGCUGCUUACUCUGGGGACUGCAAAUGUCACUUUUAGAUUAAUCAGCCCCUGCUGUUUAAAAAUAUCCCUGGAGCACUUAACCUUCAAAGCAGCAACAACCCGGGGCAAAGAUGAGAAAGAUCCCACGUCAAACCACUUGUGCAGCCCUGGCUACUCCUGGGAGAGUUCUGCUAUCUGCCUUUUAAUCCCAUAACUCGCUUUAUUUCAUAAUUCUUAGCUGUUGAAGCCAUGAGGCAUCUAAAGUCCAUGUUGUCGUAAGCAGUAGGCAGAAAGUCAUCUGGGCCCUCCUGUGACAUGCUGAAAAUUAACUGCCUACAGGUGUUGGUCAUUUGAGAAACAAGCCCCCAUUGAAAACCGUGAAUGGGAAGGUGAUCGCUAUCAGGUCACCUGGCUUCUCUCCCCUGAAAAGAUUUGGCGAAACCCUCUCAAAUCACGCCACUUAAUGGAAUGUUUCCAAUUUCUUGUGACUUGGGGAUAAAAGAAAAAAACAGCUCCAUUGCCACAUUCUCAUUCAGGGUUGACUGGCUCUUGCUAGGGUUGAGCACAGAAGAGGAAAUUCAGCACACGCUGCAGUUACAUAGUGUUCUGCAACGUGGGGAGGGCUGGCAUGUGGGACAAAGGUCGCCUCCAAGGCCCAGCUGGAGAAGCCCAGCCAACUAGGCAGCAGGAAAGUGGAGACCACAUAGGAGCACAUUGUGCUCAGGCAACAGGGAAGGUGGAACCCACUUCCUGCCAACAAUGAUGGCCUUACUAAACAGCAAGUGGAGAAACUGGCGAGAGCGCUGAGCACGGGAUCUGUGCAAAAUGGUUUAAAUGGAAAUUGCUGCUGGGGCUGGUGCAGCCUGUUCACAGCUACUUUGUUUCUGGGCUUAUUUUGCAAUAAGGAACAGUCAUUGAAUAUUGGACUUCUUGGGAUUUUCUCCACUGGACUUGGAAGCAUGUGCUCUGGAAACCUCAGCAUUAUCAGCUGUAACCCCACAGCACCAGGUACAUGUUACAGGAACCGGGGUGAAGGAAUGCAGGUCAAAUGCCUGCACAAUGCCCGGCCCGAGUCAUAUGUUCUCUAGCCACAGUAGCCCUUGUGAUGGCUCUUAGUCUAUUUAUUAAGACAAUAAAAGAGGUGACUCUCAAACAAACCUAUGUUUCCAGGGAGAGCCAUCUGUGAUUCAAGGACAUUUUUAUAAAAUUCCAUUGAAAAAAAUUCUUAGGCUUCUAACUUCAUGAAAAAAAAAUUCUUUCCCAGUGAUUCCAAAUAAUCAUGAUCUAGGCAGGGUGUUGACAGUGGCAGGACUAUUAGGCUUUGAAAUCAAGCUGAUGUGGGUUUGAAUCCUCCCUCCAUUAGCCAUGACUUUGAGCAAAUGGCUGAGCUUCAGUGUCCUCAUCAACUACUUCACCAUAUGGGUGAGAAAAUGAAAUGAUUUAUAUUGAGUUUCUGGCACAGGGGCUUGCUCAUGACAAGCACUUAAUAUCUUUCUAAUGAAAUUCAUUACUUGCAAAAAGACUAGACAUACCCACACAUACAGGUGAAGAACUCUGCAGUGAUUCAGUUCUCCCUAGACACUAUCUCUUUAAGACACAGGUAUUUUCCAGAAUAUAAUUGGAAGGCUUGAAACCAAAGUUAUUCAUAAACUCUUUCCAUCAAACACAAGAACGGUAAUAGAAAUAUAUUUCUUCAAACAGCUGUUAGUUUCAGAAAGUCACAGGUAUCAAGUUACAUUUUUUGUUUUGUUUUGUUUUGUUUUAGAAAUAGGAUCUUGCUCUGUUGCCCAGGCUGGAUGGAGUGCAGUGGCAUGAUCAUAGCUCACUGCAGCCUCGAACUCCUGGGCUCAAAUGAUCCUCCUGCCUCAGCUUCCCAAGUAGCUAGAACUACAGGCACACACCACCCCUGGCUAAUUAAAAAAAAAAAAAUUUUUUUUUUUUAAAGACAAGGUCUCAUUAUGUUGCCCAAGUUGGUCUUGAACUCCUGGCCUAAAGCGAUCUUCUUGCCUUGCCUCCUAAAGCACUGGGAUUACAGGUAUGAGCCACUGUACCUGGCCCAAAAAAAAUUAUUAAGUGACCACAUGGUCUAACAAAACAAGGCACCUGGAAAGAAAUCACCAGUCCUGCUGCAAACCGGACCCUCUGUGAGAAUUCACAUGCCUUCCCCCACCAAUUAAAUCAGAAUUUCCAGGGAUGGGGUCUGGCUUUGCAUGUUUUAGCUUCUCUAGGCUGGAGGAGCACUAGCUUCUUGUUGGAAGGCUCCCUACCUUCCUCUCCCACACCCUCACCCCAAACAUCAUUAAGAGAGACAAAAGAACAUGCUAUAUACACAACUAACAAGCAGAGAACAUAAAUUAUUGAUCUCCUGGUCUGCUCCGCUCACCAAUAUUUAUAUUUCCAAGCAUAUUUCAAAAACUUAAAAACUGGUUCCCUAGCCUGGGCAACUUAGCAAGACCCCAUUUCUAUUAAAAACUUAGCCAGGUAUGGUGGUGCAUACCAGUGGUCCCAGCUGCUCAGGAGGCUGAGGCAGGAGGAUCACCUGAACCCAGGAAGUUGAGGCUGCAGUGAGCCAUGACUGAGUCACUGUACUCCAUCUUAAGAAACAGAGUGAGACUCUAUCGCAAAAAAAAGAAAAAAAAAUUGGUUCCCAUUGACUUAAACUACAAAGGAACUUCCUGUUGUCAGACCCAAAUUACAGUGUCAGAAGGACUCUAAACAAGGAGGCCAUCUCCAGCAGAGGAAUGUUCUAGCUUUCCUCAGCUUGAGUCAGCACAAGUCAGCAUGUGAGGUCUUUUCAAAGUAACCCAGAGCACCUCCCUGCAACCUGUUUUUCCUUGCAAAUCUUGAAGGUUUGGCAAGGAUGAAAAGCCAACACCACACGCAUACGCCAAAAAGUUUGCUUCUCCACCAAACAUACUUGCGAAGACUUUUAUAUGAGAAGCAAACUGAAGCAGAAAGUGAAUUUGAACAGAGAUGUAUUAUCUAAUAAUGCAAGCAUACUAGCAACAUGCUAAAGUCUAUCUUUAAAAAAUGCAAACAAUUUAUAGUCCCUGACCUUCCCCUGCUGGAUGUAGAUCAAAAGCAGGCAGUGACUUUCACACAAUUAAUUAUUUUAUAACUGGACGUUUCCAGUACAACAUUUGCUAAUAACUGACUUCCUUGUGUUACCAAUUCCAAAAGCUGUCAGAGAUCUCCCUAACUCACCUGAAAAGGGAGGAAACAGGAAUCAUUAGGCCAGGUUCUCAGAAGCCUCCCAAACCUUGCCACGUGGAACCAUCCAGCUCCACAUCCAG